This 474-nucleotide ribosomal RNA is filed under the name uncultured bacterium. RNAcentral's name for it is "partial 16S ribosomal RNA". It matches the Rfam family "Bacterial small subunit ribosomal RNA", at positions 28 to 507 of the family's 1533-position model. The record is from RNAcentral.
GACGAACGCUGGCGGCGUGCUUAACACAUGCAAGUCGAGCGGUAAGGCUCCUUCUGGAGUACACGAUCGGCGAACGGGUGCGUAACACGUGCGUAAUCUGCCCUUCCCUUCGUGAUAACCACCUGAAACGGUGUCUAAUACCUACUACGACCAGUCUUCGCAUGAGUUGCUGGUGGAAAGUCUUUUCGGUGAAGGAUGUGCUCGCGGCCUAUCAGCUUGUUGGUGGGGUAAUGGCCUACCAAGGCUUCGACGGGUAGGCGGCCUGGGAGGGUGACCGGCGAGACUGGGCAUGAGACGCGGGCCAGACUCCUACGGGAGGCAGCAGUGGGGAAGAUUGGACAUUGGGCGAAAGGCUGAUACAGCAACGGCGCGUGAGGGAUGACGGCGUUCGGGUUGUAAACCUCUUUCAGUACCGACGAAGCGGCCGGUCGGGUGGUGACGGUAGGUACAGAAGAAGGACCGGCCAACUACGUG